GCUUAACACAUGCAAGUCGAACGAGGUACCCAUGACUGCGGCUUCGGCCAAAGGAUUGGACUACCUAGUGGCGGACGGGUGAGUAACGCGUGAGCAACCUGCCUUCGAGAGGGGGAUAACACCGGGAAACUGGUGCUAAUACCGCAUAACGUAACGAGAUCGCAUGAUUUUGUUACCAAAGGAGCAAUCCGCUCGAAGAUGGGCUCGCGUCUGAUUAGCUAGUUGGUGAGGUAACGGCCCACCAAGGCGACGAUCAGUAGCCGGGCUGAGAGGGUGAACGGCCACAUUGGGACUGAGAUACGGCCCAGACUCCUACGGGAGGCAGCAGUGGGGAAUAUUGCACAAUGGGGGAAACCCUGAUGCAGCAACGCCGCGUGAAGGAAGACGGUCUUCGGAUUGUAAACUUCUUUUCUCAAGGACGAUAAUGACGGUACUUGAGGAAUAAGCCACGGCUAACUACGUGCCAGCCGCCGCGGUAA
Molecule: ribosomal RNA, 479 nt
Filed under: uncultured bacterium
Lineage: Bacteria
Description: partial 16S ribosomal RNA
Rfam family: Bacterial small subunit ribosomal RNA
Source: RNAcentral